RNAcentral lists this transfer RNA (66 nucleotides) under Ornithodoros kalahariensis. RNAcentral's name for it is "Ornithodoros sp. 1 BJM-2014 tRNA-Gln". Lineage: Eukaryota; Metazoa; Arthropoda; Arachnida; Ixodida; Argasidae. The record is from RNAcentral.
UUUUAGGUGUAGGGCACGUUAAAUUUUGGAUUUAAGGGGAAUGAUUCGUUUCAUUAAAAUUAAUAA